This 284-nucleotide long non-coding RNA is filed under the name Elaeis guineensis (African oil palm). RNAcentral's name for it is "long non-coding RNA (EGUI_LNC030966)". The record is from RNAcentral. Lineage: Eukaryota; Viridiplantae; Streptophyta; Magnoliopsida; Arecales; Arecaceae.
GCAUACACCUUCUGCUUCUCCAUCCUUAAAUUCUUCACGGGGGUUCUACUUUCGGAUUGUCCCGACAAUGGCGGCUUGAUGACUACGAACGCAAGUUCAAAAAGAUCGACCGCCAGCUUAUCCGACUUCAAGUGGAAGGUUGAAAAUCUUCUAGUGACUAUGAUUUCCACACUGCCCAACCUCUCUCUCAGCAUAUCCUGGAUGAACUAAUUUCGUCUCAAUUCAAGAUGCCACAGAUAGAGCCAUACGACAGCUCCACCGAUUCGAUCGAUCAUUUGGAGAGC